RNAcentral lists this ribosomal RNA (409 nucleotides) under uncultured bacterium. RNAcentral describes it as "bacterial SSU rRNA". It matches the Rfam family "Bacterial small subunit ribosomal RNA", at positions 350 to 751 of the family's 1533-position model. The record is from RNAcentral.
AGCAGUGGGGAAUAUUGGACAAUGGGCGAAAGCCUGAUCCAGCCAUGCCGCGUGUGUGAAGAAGGUCUUCGGAUUGUAAAGCACUUUAAGUUGGGAGGAAGGGCAUUAACCUAAUACGUUAGUGUUUUGACGUUACCGACAGAAUAAGCACCGGCUAACCCUGUGCCAGCAGCCGCGGUAAUACAGAGGGUGCAAGCGUUAAUCGGAAUUACUGGGCGUAAAGCGCGCGUAGGUGGUUUGUUAAGUUGGAUGUGAAAUCCCCGGGCUCAACCUGGGAACUGCAUUCAAAACUGACUGACUAGAGUAUGGUAGAGGGUGGUGGAAUUUCCUGUGUAGCGGUGAAAUGCGUAGAUAUAGGAAGGAACACCAGUGGCGAAGGCGACCACCUGGACUAAUACUGACACUGAGG